Long non-coding RNA from Equus caballus (horse), 665 nucleotides. RefSeq lists it as uncharacterized. Lineage: Eukaryota; Metazoa; Chordata; Mammalia; Perissodactyla; Equidae. The record is from RefSeq and is a predicted model, not a curated record.
GGCGGCGCCGGGCAGCGCCUCGCCGGCCGCCCGAGUGGUAAACAAGCCCGCAGGUUCCGGUACCUCCGCUCCGGGCUUCUUUUGUGUGCGCGCCGUGAGGGAGGGGCGGGAGGGCCGGCCGGGGGAGGCAGAAGCGCGCGAAAAGAAAAAACAAAGCCUUUUAUAUGGGAGAGACAAGCUUUCAAAAUCGGAAAGUCGGCUUCAGCGCGAGGGCGUGACUUUGCCGUGUCGGUUUCGUGUGAACCGUUUGCGAGCGCACGAGGGGAUGCGGGCAUCCGUGUUACGGUCAGCCGGGCAGUUGGGGUGCAAAUUCCGUGAGGAACAUUAAUAAGACGCUAUCCUCUCAGGUGAGCUGGCGAGGUGCAGCGAGCCACCUGCCUUCUCUUGGCCAGAGCGGGAUGGAAGCGGAGGUCCCUAAGCCCUGCCUACGUGCAGGCCGGCCCUUCCUCACCCGGAUUGCUGAUCCUCACACCACACCAGGAUGACAGGAAUUACCCUCGCCGUUUGACCCGGAGCUCGGAGAGGCUGAGGGCACACGGACAGGAAGUGGCAAAGCUGGGAUUUGAAUCCAAGUCCUUCACAGUUCGCAGGCAAGGCUUGACCCCAAAUUAGCAGUUUAUUACCUCGCCAAUAACUCCUCCAUUAAAUAAAGCUCUUGUAAUAUG